RNAcentral lists this non-coding RNA (77 nucleotides) under unclassified sequences. RNAcentral's name for it is "L13-Bacteroidia ribosomal protein leader". It matches the Rfam family "L13-Bacteroidia ribosomal protein leader". The record is from RNAcentral.
UGGGGAGAGACUUAGAAUCCCCACGGGUUGAUGUGUGAAUAGCUGUGUCUUUGGCCGGGCGCGGUGGUUCGAGAAUC